GCUGGGCAUGGUGGCGCGUGCCUGUAAUCCCAGCUACUCAGGAGGCUGAGGCAGGAGAAUUGUCUGAACCCAGGUGGCAGAGGUUGCAGUGAGCCGAGAUCGCGCCAUUGCACUCCAGCCUGGGUAACAAGAUGAAACUCCGUCUCAA
Unclassified non-coding RNA from Callithrix jacchus (white-tufted-ear marmoset), 148 nucleotides. It matches the Rfam family "Metazoan signal recognition particle RNA". From Rfam's summary of the family: The signal recognition particle (SRP) is a universally conserved ribonucleoprotein. It is involved in the co-translational targeting of proteins to membranes. The eukaryotic SRP consists of a 300-nucleotide 7S RNA and six proteins: SRPs 72, 68, 54, 19, 14, and 9. Lineage: Eukaryota; Metazoa; Chordata; Mammalia; Primates; Cebidae. The record is from Ensembl.